Molecule: ribosomal RNA, 468 nt
Filed under: uncultured bacterium
Lineage: Bacteria
Description: partial 16S ribosomal RNA
Rfam family: Bacterial small subunit ribosomal RNA
Source: RNAcentral
GACGAACGCUGGCGGCGUGCUUAACACAUGCAAGUCGAACGGAAAGGCCCUGCUUUUGUGGGGUGCUCGAGUGGCGAACGGGUGAGUAACACGUGAGUAACCUGCCCUUGACUUUGGGAUAACUUCAGGAAACUGGGGCUAAUACCGGAUAGGAGCUCCUGCUGCAUGGUGGGGGUUGGAAAGUUUCGGCGGUUGGGGAUGGACUCGCGGCUUAUCAGCUUGUUGGUGGGGUAGUGGCUUACCAAGGCUUUGACGGGUAGCCGGCCUGAGAGGGUGACCGGACACAUUGGGACUGAGAUAAGGCCCAGACUCGUACGGGAGGCAGCAGUGGGGAAUAUUGCACAAUGGGCGGAAGCAUGAUGCAGCAACGCAGCGUGCGGGAUGACGGCCUUCGGGUUGGAAACCGCUUUCGCCUGUGACGAAGCGUGAGUGACGGUAAUGGGUAAAGAAGCACCGGCUAACUACGUG